GAUGAACGCUAGCGAUAGGCUUAACACAUGCCAGUCGAGGGGCAACAUGGUCUUAGCUUGCUAAUACUGAUGGCGACCGGCGCACGGGUGCGUAACGCGUAUGCAACUUGCCUCACAGAGGGGGAUAACCCGUCGAAAGACUGACUAAUACCGCGUACACUUGGGAUAGGGCAUCCUGACCCAAGGCAAUGAAAUUCGCUCUUAGAUAGGCAUGCGUCCCAUUAGCUAGUAGGUGAGGUAACGGCUCUCCAAGGCGACGAUGGGUAGGGGAACCGAUAGUUUGCCACACUAGACCGGUACCGAGACCCGGACCAGAAUGGUACGGGAGGCUGCGGUGACGAAUAUUAGUCACUGGGGGUGGGCCUGAAACAGCCAAGUCGCGUGAAGGAUGACUGUCUUAUGGAUUCUAUGCUUCUUUUAUACGGGAAAAGCAAGAGUAACGUGUGGCUCCCUGACGGUACCGUAUGAAUAAGCCACGGCUAACUACGUG
Molecule: ribosomal RNA, 490 nt
Filed under: uncultured bacterium
Lineage: Bacteria
Description: partial 16S ribosomal RNA
Rfam family: Bacterial small subunit ribosomal RNA
Source: RNAcentral